RNAcentral lists this ribosomal RNA (269 nucleotides) under uncultured prokaryote. RNAcentral's name for it is "partial 16S ribosomal RNA". It matches the Rfam family "Bacterial small subunit ribosomal RNA", at positions 524 to 792 of the family's 1533-position model. The record is from RNAcentral.
UACGGAGGAUGCAAGCGUUAUCCGGAUUUAUUGGGUUUAAAGGGUGCGCAGGCGGGGGAUUAAGUCGGCGGUGAAAUUUUGCAGCUCAACUGUAAAAGUGCCUUCGAAACUGGUUUCCUUGAGUGUAGAUGAAGUAGGCGGAAUUUGUGGUGUAGCGGUGAAAUGCAUAGAUAUCACGAAGAACUCCGAUUGCGCAGGCAGCUUACUAAACUACUACUGACGCUCAGGCACGAAGGCGUGGGGAUCAAACAGGAUUAGAUACCCGCGUA